RNAcentral lists this ribosomal RNA (468 nucleotides) under uncultured bacterium. RNAcentral's name for it is "partial 16S ribosomal RNA". It matches the Rfam family "Bacterial small subunit ribosomal RNA", at positions 28 to 507 of the family's 1533-position model. The record is from RNAcentral.
GACGAACGCUGGCGGCGUGCUUAACACAUGCAAGUCGAGCGGAAAGGCCCUGCUUUUGUGGGGUGCUCGAGUGGCGAACGGGUGAGUAACACGUGAGUAACCUGCCCUUGACUUUGGGAUAACUUCAGGAAACUGGGGCUAAUACCGGAUAGGAGCUCCUGCUGCAUGGUGGGGGUUGGAAAGUUUCGGCGGUUGGGGAUGGACUCGCGGCUUAUCAGCUUGUUGGUGGGGUAGUGGCUUACCAAGGCUUUGACGGGUAGCCGGCCUGAGAGGGUGACCGGCCACAUUGGGACUGAGAUACGGCCCAGACUCCUACGGGAGGCAGCAGUGGGGAAUAUUGCACAAUGGGCGGAAGCCUGAUGCAGCAACGCCGCGUGCGGGAUGACGGCCUUCGGGUUGUAAACCGCUUUCGCCUGUGACGAAGCGUGAGUGACGGUAAUGGGUAAUGAAGCACCGGCUAACUACGUG